ACACCAUUGUUAUAAAUUGAAACAUCAGGCAUGAGUUCGAAGUCCUUGGCGGAGAACCUUUGUUUGGCUAGCUUUACACCAUUGUCAUAAAUAGAAACAUCAGGCAUGAGCUCGAAGUCCUUGGCGAAGAACUUUUGUUUGGUUGGCUUAAUACCGUUGUCGUAAAUUGAAACAUCAGGCAAGAACUCGAAGUGCUUGGCAAAAGCCUUUUGUUUGGUUGGCUUAAUACCGUUGUCGUAAAUUGAAACAUCAGGCAUGAGCUCGAAGUUCUUGGCGAAGGAUCUCUGCUUAUCCUUUGGUUUAAUACCGUUGUCAUAAAUUGAAACAUCAGGCAUUAGCUCGAGGUCCUUGACAAAAGCCUUUUGUUUCGUCAGCUUAACGCCGUUGUCAUAGAUUGAAACAUCAGGCAUCAGCUCAAAGUUCUUAUUGAAAAAAGGCUUCUCCA
Molecule: long non-coding RNA, 445 nt
Filed under: Citrus sinensis (sweet orange)
Lineage: Eukaryota; Viridiplantae; Streptophyta; Magnoliopsida; Sapindales; Rutaceae
Description: long non-coding RNA (CSIN_LNC003360)
Source: RNAcentral